GGGAGGACUGCAAGGAGGGAGGCGUGUGUGAACGUGGGGUGAGCACCCCCCCAGGGCAGCCCCAAAUUCCUGAAGCUGGCACUGGAGAGGCGCAGAGCAGGCCCAGCCCUCCAGCUGCUCAUGCUCAGCCCCUCAUGCCCUGUCUCUGUCCCCACCCCCUGGCAGCUGGCGGAGAUCCACGGCGUGCCCCGUGGGCUGUAUGACGGGCCCGUCCACGAGGUGAUGGUGCCUGCCAAGCCAGGGAGUGGUGCUCAGGCCCGCGCGUCCUGCUCAGGCAAGAUCUCAGUUCCUCCUGUGCGCAACCUACAUCAGUCGGGGUUCAGCCUAUCUGGGUCUCAGGCUGAUGACCACAUCGCCCGACGCACAGCACAGAAGAUCAUGGCACCACCCGGCGGCCGCU
RNAcentral lists this small RNA (400 nucleotides) under Pongo abelii (Sumatran orangutan). RNAcentral's name for it is "processed transcript". The record is from RNAcentral. Lineage: Eukaryota; Metazoa; Chordata; Mammalia; Primates; Hominidae.